RNAcentral lists this ribosomal RNA (503 nucleotides) under uncultured bacterium. RNAcentral's name for it is "partial 16S ribosomal RNA". It matches the Rfam family "Bacterial small subunit ribosomal RNA", at positions 28 to 523 of the family's 1533-position model. The record is from RNAcentral.
GAUAAACGCUAGCGGCAGGCUUAACACAUGCAAGUCGAGGGGCAGCAUAGAUUGUAGCAAUACAAUUGGUGGCGACCGGCGCACGGGUGCGUAACGCGUAUGCAACCUACCCGUCACAGGGGGAUAAUCCGGAGAAAUCUGGUCUAAUACCCCAUAACAUAUGGAUCGGCAUCGGUUCAUGGUGAAAUUUUCGGAGGUGACGGAUGGGCAUGCGUAGCAUUAGCUUGUUGGUGAGGUAACGGCUCACCAAGGCGACGAUGCUUAGGGGGACUGAGAGGUUUUCCCCCCACACUGGUACUGAGACACGGACCAGACUCCUACGGGAGGCAGCAGUGAGGAAUAUUGGUCAAUGGGCGCAAGCCUGAACCAGCCAUGCCGCGUGCAGGAUGACGGCUCUAUGAGUUGUAAACUGCUUUUGUACGAGGGUAAAGUGGGUUACGUGUAACCUUUUGAAAGUAUCGUACGAAUAAGGAUCGGCUACUCCGUGCCAGCCGCCGCGGUAA